This 345-nucleotide ribosomal RNA is filed under the name uncultured bacterium. Its description in RNAcentral is "bacterial SSU rRNA". It matches the Rfam family "Bacterial small subunit ribosomal RNA", at positions 8 to 353 of the family's 1533-position model. The record is from RNAcentral.
AGAGUUUGAUCCUGGCUCAGAUUGAACGCUGGCGGCAUGCUUUACUACAUGCAAGUCGAACGGCAGCAUGGGGGCAACCCUGAUGGCGAGUGGCGAACGGGUGAGUAAUAUAUCGGAACGUACCCGAGAGUGGGGGACAACCAGUCGAAAGAUUGGCUAAUACCGCAUACGAUCUACGGAUGAAAGUGGGGGACCUUUGGGGCCUCACGCUCCUGGAGCGGCCGAUAGCUGAUUAGCUAGUUGGUGGGGUAAAGGCCUACCAAGGCGAUGAUCAGUAGCUGGUCUGAGAGGACGAUCAGCCACACUGGGACUGAGACACGGCCCAGACUCCUACGGGAGGCAGCA